Molecule: transfer RNA, 77 nt
Filed under: Clostridiaceae bacterium
Lineage: Bacteria; Bacillati; Bacillota; Clostridia; Eubacteriales; Clostridiaceae
Description: tRNA-Arg
Rfam family: tRNA
About the family: Transfer RNA (tRNA) molecules are approximately 80 nucleotides in length.
Source: RNAcentral
GUGCCUGUAGCUCAGCUGGAUAGAGCAACGGACUUCUAAUCCGUAGGCCGGGGGUUCGAAUCCCUUCAGGCACGCCA